Girardinichthys multiradiatus is the source of this 2273-nucleotide long non-coding RNA. RefSeq lists it as uncharacterized. NCBI's taxonomy places the organism in Eukaryota, Metazoa, Chordata, Actinopteri, Cyprinodontiformes, Goodeidae. The record is from RefSeq and is a predicted model, not a curated record. The transcript has 3 exons.
UGUUCUGAUAGCAGUAGCAUCGUGCCUUCUGCUGAUGUUAGCACUGUGUGCUGCUUUUAGCUCCUUGAGGUUCAGAACCGUACUGAGUGUUUUGAAUAAUAUUAUUACAGAAACAGUUUUGCAUUGUUUUUGCUGUUUUUGUCUUGUUUCUGCAUCCCUAGAUAAUUGUUAUAAAACCACAAAAAUGGCCAAAACAGGUGAAAGUGGAGCGUUCUUUGACCUGGAGGGGUCGGGGUGUGAAGUACCUCAGUAGCAUUUAAAGAGACGGCACCAAAACGAGAGACACACCUCAGAACAGGUAAAAGAAGAGCCUGUGGAGCGUCAAGAACAAGGAGCACAGACCAAAGCAUUGCUGUUCCACUUUAUAUAGACCACAACUGAGGGAUUUAAGGGUGAAAAGGAAGGAUCUAAAAGCAUGAUAUGUCCCCUCUAAGAGUUUAUUCAGAAAGUAAAACUAAAAACGUGUGAACACGGAUCAGUUUAAGUGGAACAUGAUAACUUCCUCCUGAUGACUGAGUCCAAAAUGUAUCAACACAGUAAACCUGAGGAGGCUUAGAGAAAUAACCCAGAGAUUUAUUUAACUUCUUAUAUCCAACUCAUAGUUUUUAUUUUUGUGUAUUUUAAAUUUGCUGUGAUGCUGUGAAGCAGAGCUUUGCUGAUAAGAAGCGGGAUUGCUCAGAUAGUUCCAGUUGUUUUGUUGACCUUCAUCUUCAUGCAGGUGACACCUUCAUGCCUGGUUUCUCAACGUGAUUACACACUGAGUUUUUCCCACCUAGACCUCAUCUGCAUAGCAUAAACACCCUGACAUAUGAUGAACGUUUUAGACUCUUAUUAAUUCAAAGAUCACAUUUCCAGCUCGGUCAUACUUCAUGAUCUCUGAUGAUGGAGACAGCUUCUAGCUGACUUCCUGCUGUCUUUUACGCCUGUAACUGUCUCACUAAUGUGAAAAAUGUUCAUCCACAGCAUUUCUUCAUCAUCAGUCAGGCUCGAUGGUCUCCUCCAUUCCUCGUUAAUACUGGUGCAUUUUCCACAUAAAUAGUUAUAAAACUCUGAUUUAUUAUUAGUUAAUUUACAGAAAGUGCAGCUCUUUAAAUACGUCCUGGCCCGGUGCCAUUUUGUGACCCUUUGUGGAGACGUUCUUGUGUAAAAUCUGGAUACGAUGUUUAGACCUUGACACCUUUAUGUGCACAAAAGACUGACCACUGAAAAGACAUGAAAUAGUCUCCCAAACAGACGCUUUGUUUUUCAGUUUCUGUGUUUUUAUCCAGAGGUAAAGAUGAGUUCAUAAAAUCUCCUGUUCAUCAGGAGCAUCCAGCCACAGCAGCAGCGGCUCAAAGAAGCUGUAAUCCUGCCCUCCUCUGAAAGCUGAAUGUUUGAACCAUCUCCUGAGGUCUUUGUGGGAAAUACGAGGCUGAGACGGCGUGGACAGAUGAGGACAUGCAACCGCUCUUAGGCUCUGUGUGCAAUUAAAGCCUGGAACAGAGAAGCUCUCAGCGCGCUUCAGUGGAGCUAAUCAGGGGGGGAGGUGACGGGUCCCAGGAACCGGCUGUGACAGGUAUGAGGAGGACAUGCUCACUGAGGCCUGCAGAGAUGGAGCUCCUGGGUGUUUUUGUCAUUUCUCUGAGCAUUUCAUCAUCAUUGUUGUGACCUUGGGCUGAAUCUGCUGGGACAUCCACUCCCUGAAAGACAUUAUGGACUUCAUAUGGUUUGGAAAUGUCCUCAUAACCCUUCCAAUGCUGAUGUAUAGCAAUACAUUCUUCUCUAAUGUAAUGGCUGAUGCCUUGUCAUCUUAGUUUUGUGCUAAAACACACCUUGCUUUUAUAAUCACAUUUUUUCUUGUCUUGUACUUCACUUAUCAUGUUUGGGUAGUUAGGUUUCUUGCACUUAGAGCUGUCUUUGGUUUGUUAUUAGUUGCUUCCUGUUUUAUUUUGGUUAGUCUGGCCCUUCCUGUUUAUGUUCUCUUCACUUCCUGUUUUUUUUUUUUUUUUACCGUUCCCCAGUCUGCUGUUGGUUUUGAGUCUGUUUGUUAGUUUUUGGUCUGUGUUCAUUUCCUGUUUAGUCCCAUUCAUUCUCUGUUUCCUGCAGUCUCUGGUUGCAUUCUCAGCUGCUUCCACUCAUCGGUUCUCCUCAGUAAAUAGUCUCCUUUGGUUCUUUUGUUUUUGGAUUUAUUUAAUUUCAGGAUCUUCAGUUCACGUUUUAGGAUUUUUGGACUUUAGACUUUGUUUUUGUAAGCAUCUCUUUUGUAUUAUUAAACAUAUUUAUUUUUUGCUCCA